Molecule: long non-coding RNA, 373 nt
Filed under: Gallus gallus (chicken)
Lineage: Eukaryota; Metazoa; Chordata; Aves; Galliformes; Phasianidae
Description: long non-coding RNA NONGGAT003932
Source: RNAcentral
CACGGCCCGGCGGCCUCGCCCAGGGCUGUGGAAGGAGGCGGGGGCCACCGCUACCGCCUCAUCUCCCCCGCCGCUAGGAUUUACCUGGCCGGGGAGCCCGCGCUGCCCGGACUGCCCCCACCGGCGCCGCGCUUCCAGCGAUCAGGGUGACGGGCCACUGAGCGAAGCCCUCGCCCGGCAGCCGCUACACCUCUCCAACUCCCUCAGAGUCUGGCGCUGGAGGCCGCCAUCUUAGCUCCGGCAGCGAGACCGCCCUCUCGACGCAGACGCCGUCAGACCCGGGCCCGUCACGGGACACGCAUUGUGAGGGUGAGCACUUCAGACCAAAAUGGCCAUAUGACUCAGACUUGGGCCAGCACUUGCUCCUAUUGUU